AGCGUAGGCGGACUUUUAAGUGAGAUGUGAAAUACCCGGGCUCAACUUGGGUGCUGCAUUUCAAACUGGAAGUCUAGAGUGCAGGAGAGGAGAAUGGAAUUCCUAGUGUAGCGGUGAAAUGCGUAGAGAUUAGGAAGAACACCAGUGGCGAAGGCGAUUCUCUGGACUGUAACUGACGCUGAGGCUCGAAAGCGUGGGGGAGCAAACA
This 208-nucleotide ribosomal RNA is filed under the name uncultured bacterium. RNAcentral's name for it is "partial 16S ribosomal RNA". It matches the Rfam family "Bacterial small subunit ribosomal RNA", at positions 568 to 774 of the family's 1533-position model. The record is from RNAcentral.